Molecule: non-coding RNA, 5627 nt
Organism: Macaca mulatta (Rhesus monkey)
Lineage: Eukaryota; Metazoa; Chordata; Mammalia; Primates; Cercopithecidae
Source: RefSeq, a predicted model, not a curated record
UUCGCUGUGAUUGUGGCACUGCACUUCAGCCUUGGCUACAGAGUGAGACCCUGUCUCAAAAAUAUAAACAAAAUAACCCCCAACAGCAUUACAACAAAUAUACAAUAAGCAUCCACUUGGUAUGUGUGGGAGAUUGUGCAAAUGCUGGUGGCACAGGCGGGCGGAAGGCAGGCAUCUGGGGAGUGUGGGUGCACGGGAGGAUGGGGAGUAAUCUGGAGGGUCUCACAGUCUGUCAGUGGCAGGUCUUUCUUCCUGAGACCAUAGCAGACCCCCAACCCUGAGGAUGCGAGGCAGGUGGGUUGGAUGAAAGAGACCUGGAUGUCUGGUCUGGGGCUGCUCCUGUAAGUGCAGCAGCAAGGAGGGCGGGGAUGGACUGAAGGUGGUGCUGGGGAGCAGCCUGUUUGCUACACUUGAUCACCAGCUGCUGGGAAGUUGUGACUUUCACUUUCCCUUUGGAAUUCCUGGGUACAUCUUAGGGGUGGGAGGACGUGUGUGUUUAUUACACAGAUGCAUAACUGGAGGUGGGAUCCACACAGCUCAGAACAGCUGGAUCUUGCUCAGUCUCUGUCGGGGGAAGAUUCCUCGGAGGAGGCCCUGGAGCCCGUGACGUGGAGGGAGCCUCUUUGCUGAGAGUCUUUGUCCUCUGCAUCUGGUGCCUCACAGUCAAUCCCACAAUUUGUUUUCUCCUCCUCAAGGAUGCAGCAAAACCAUCCAGGCAGGACAAUGGCUGGGCAAUUCCAUGGUAAGCCUCUCAGUGACCUGGCUGCUGGUAAGCUUGCCUCCUCUUCCCUGGCUGUUUCGUACCCACAGCUACAAUGGAGGGUGGUGUCUCCAAGGCUGAGUGAGCCCCAACAGAGCCCAGAUGGAGGUGGCCGAUGAGUCUGCCCUGAGCCCCAAGAGAGGCCAUGUGGAGUCCCCCGAACCAGGGGUCUGGGGGGGCAUCUGCAUCCUGACCUCUCCUCAGGGGGGGCAUGGCCCAGGUGCCCACCUCCUCCCUACCCUGGCACCUAGCAAAUGACUCAAGUGGGGCAGGACGGCCUUGGGGAAGGGGAAACAGCAGGGUUGGGUUUUGCGGGGGGAGAGCAGGGGCCAGAAGUACGGGAGAGGUGGGAGAGGAGGUUGACCAGCAGCCCUGACCUCUUACCUCCUACUCUGCUCCUGGCUGACCCUGGGGUGUUUCCAGGAGAGGCUGGUCCCCUUUCUCCAGCUCUUGCCCCACACCAGUCCGUCUGCUUUGAGUGGCCCUGUGGGUAGAGUGAUCCAGCUUUCCAGUGAACUGGACCCCAUUGUGGUCUUGGCCAUGUGCCUUCUGUGUGACCUGGAGCUCCUUAGUCGUCCUCAACUGCACCACCAGGAUAUUUGCCCACGUUGUCAUGAGGAUCAAACAUUACAUGGGUACCUGGACCAGCCAGUGCCUGCCACAAACUACGGCCUCCCUAAGAGCUGGUUCCCAUCCCCUCCACCUGACCCCUGUUGAUUCUAAGGGGAAACCAUCCCCUUCCCCAGCUGUGUUAGGGGCACCUGCCCUGAGCUGCCCAUCACAAGCAUCUCUUUACCAGGGCUGAGUCCAAUCAUCUAACAUAUCCCUUGUCAAAGAAACAUCUGAGGCACAAUCACAUUUAUCUGAAUAAGAAGGAGUUCAUGAAUUGAGAAAACCAAACUGGAGGAGGUUUCGUGUUAUGAUGAAAAAGUGUGGGAGACAAGUGUUUAUUGGGUGAAUAUGGAAGUGCAAUAAGGACAUUAUUUGAUUAGUUCCAGUUAUAAAACUUCUUGUUUUGGUUUACCUUGUUGGAAAAUUCCUGGUCACGUUGAUGCCGGUGGGUUUAGGGAGGUCUCUGAAUGCAGGUGAGACCGGACCUUAGCCUUGUCCAGUUUCUGACACCGAAGAGAGAAAAAAUUUGAGUCAAAGCCAAAGCAAAUCAGCUUUUAUUGCAAAGCGGAAGCGCAGGCUCGGGGGUGGGAGUGCAGGCGGACUCAGAAGAGCCAGUCGGGCCCAGUGGGGUUUGGUGUUUUUGUUUUUGUGGGUUUACUAAGCUAAUGGGCAGAGUAAGCAUAAGGAUCUAUGGGAAGAGGCAGAGAUUUCUUGGAACUGGGGGGCCACGCAGUUUUGCAGCAAGAAUGGAACUGCUGUGGCGCGGGUGGGUAUGGGACAAGGAGGGUAUGAUUGAGUCUGGGGUGAAAAGUGGGUCAGACCCAGCACUGAGUUAGAUCUUACUGGUCUUAGCCGGAUUGGCCACUUCCUGUUCGUCAGGGUCCUGUGGGCCCGUCGCCUCCCCCUGUCCCUGCAGCUGGUUUCAGCAGCUCCUUCUGUGUCCGUCAUGUGAACCUGCUGCCUGGAGUUCUUGUUUCUUCUGUGACCUCCCAGUAUUCCCAUCUCAGCAUGGCCCUCUGUCAGCUGGCUGCUUGUGACUGGCCGAGGUUAAGUUUUGUUUGUGUCUAACAGAAGCGGCCAUCUGAUAUGACCCCAGUUCAGUUUCCCACAGCUUGCAGUUUAAGCGGGGAUUACAGCCGUUCUCAAGGUCUGGUUGGUUUUGUUUGCCCAGGAAUGUUUCAGGCUUGGUUUUUAUUUUAAUUUUGCUUUAAUAUUCACCAUCCCCACCCCAUCAAUAAAACACAAAUUUAGUGCUGGAGGUUCCUUCCAUCCAACCCUGGGUUUCCUUCCUCCUUUUGGUGAAGAAGGAAAGAGAAAAAACAAGACAAGCCCUCGCCCAGCCGAGUCAGCACUGCGUUCAUUUCCCUAAGCCCCAUUUCCUCAGGACGGCUUCCUCCCCUUACAGAGUUGCAGUGGCAACCAAGUCAGCUCUGCUCAGGAGCUGCCCUGGACAGCAAACUGGCCUGUGCUGAGUCCUGUCCAAGACCAGGGGAGGGUGGAGAAGAUUAGAAGCCCGGAGCUCCCAGCCGACCCUGGAAUCCUUAGGAAGGGCUAGGCUGGGGGCCAAGGAAGAAACUCCCCCUCCGAAACAAGAUGAUCUCUUGUUUAAUAACGGGGCCAGCUGGGCUCAGAGGUGAUAAUGGGGAGCCGUGUACCCUGAGACCAGCCUGCAGGGGACAGAGGCAACACAGAGGGGCCACAAGGAUCAGUGCUGAGGGUCCCGCCCCCCUGCCCACCUAAAGAACCCCCUCCACUGCCCGCCUGAGAGCCCCCAUGACCCGCAAGAGGAAUAAAAUGUUUAAAAUAAAAUGUUUAAAUAAAUAAAAUGUUUAAAUUCUGUGCAAAUAAAAUGUUUAAAGCCCCACAGGUAUACUACAGGGGAGAAUGCAAAUAAAAUGUUUAAAACUCCACAGGUAUAUUACAGGGGAGAAUGCAAAUAAAAUGUUUAAAACUCCACAGGUAUACUACAGGGGAGAAUGCAGAAACCACAGGCAUUUAAAAAAUAUAUGGCGUCUUCAAAGCAAUGGCAAGGGAACGCUGGCCUGGGAGUCAAAUCCUGAGCUUCCUGCUUGCUGGGUUGGGAGGUGUCUCUCACUGUCUGGGUCUCAAUUUCUCCUUCUGUGAAAUGAGAACGAGGCCUUGCAAGUGCCUCCAGGGCAGGAAACAAUUUUACAUCAUGCCCCAGUGCAUACAUAAAUACAUACUGCUUCCCAGUCCCUUCUCUGCAGUUCCGUUAUUCCUAAAUCCCUGCAAACCACACAUUUUUUGGGCAACUCAUCUGGGCAGUAAUCCUGCUGUGUACUAAGAUGCUUUGUAGCAGUAAUAUUAUGUAUCUCAUUUAAGGUGAAUAUUCAUUGGUUUCUCUGUUGAAACACUCGUACCUUUGAUUACAAGGUUAAAACAUUUGUACCGUUGACCACUCUGCGAGUGGUCAGUGAUACAGCAUAUGCACCCUGUGUCACUUCUAAAAGAUUGAAAAUGCUGCCGUGCUAAACACAUCCAGAUCCCAGAAAUACACACACACACACACACACACACACACACAUAUAAUAUCUUACAAAAGAAUACUCACUCUUGCUAUGUUCAAUACACUCUGAUAUUUUCAAUGCUCUUUCUUUUUAAAAUGCUGCUUUUGACACAUGAACUAUUGUAAUAACCCACUGACGGGUCGAAACUCAGAUUUUGAAGACACUGGUUUAAAGUGUUUGACAAUAGGUACACAGCAGAAGGAAGCCAUCUUGGAAGAUUUCCCUUACAUGGGGAGGAAACGUGGUGGAAAGCUCUUACUUUCUGGUGAUUCUCAGCUGAAAUAGAUGGGUUGCUCCACAAAGCACCGUGCCACUUUCCUGCUGAAUCACUCUUCUCAGGAUGCCUCAGUAAAAUGCCACAGGCUGGGUGGCUUCAACAACUGACUUAUUUUCUCACAGUUCUGGAGGCAAGAAGUCCAAGGUGAAGGUGCCAGCAGGGUUGAUGUCUGGGGAGGGCUCUGCUCCUGGCUUGCAGAGGCUGCCUCAGUGCUGUGUCCUCACAUGGCCUUCCCAGUGUGUGUGUGUGUGUGUGUGUGUGUGUGAGAGAGAGAGAGAGAGAGAGAGAGAGAGAGAGAGAGAGAGAGAUCCUCUGUCUCUUUUUUUCUUUUAAUUGGACACCAGUCCUAUAGGAUUAGGGCCCUAUCCUUAUGACUGCCUUUAAAUUAAUGACUUCCUUAAAGGCUCGAUCUCCAAAUAUAGUCACUGAAGUUUAGGGCCUCAGUAUAUGAAUUUGGGGGGCACACAAUUCACUCUAUAGCACUGGUGCCUCCAUCAAAACUACCCCAUGUGACAGCUGGUCAGGAGGAUUAACAUCGAACCACCUUAUAUUCAGGGCCAUUUAUGUGGUAGAACACUUUCCUCCUGUCUUAUCCUUUUUGUUUCCAACUAGAAAAGAAAUGCUUCACUGAAAAAGUCACCGAAUACUUCCAGAAGAAUGUUAGCCCAGGGCAUCUGAAAAUCCUGCUGACUGACGAUGAAGCCUGGAAGAGAUUGGUAGCUGUGGCUGAAUUGCCCAGGGAAAGAACACAGAUGAAAAUCAGCCUAAGGAAGAGACACACAGGGCAGAGUCUGGGAGGACUUCAGGUGUGAAGCUUCAUUGUCCUCAGGACGCUGUGAUCUCCUGUGUCAAUGUGGGACAAGACACAUGGGGUGCUGCCAACCAGGGAAGUUCACCCAGUUAAGGAAAAAUUCCUGUGAACCACAUGAAAUCAGGAAGGAAGCCUUUAUUCAGGAUGGUUGUUACAGGGGAGGGAGACCGAGCCCAGCUCUGAAUACAGUAAAGACGGGGGUGAGGGGGGCGGGGGGGAGUCACAGCCAACACCAGGGUGAGGGGCGGCAGAUGGAACAGGACUGACAAGAGACACCGGAGUGGGGGGUUUCUGCUACACUGGACUAACAGGAUGCUCACCUAAGGGCAGCUCAGACACUCACCCAUCAAAUGAAUGGGUGAAGACUGUAAUCGGAGAGCAAGUGUCCUCAGACAGCAAGCCGGGGGGAUCCUCUGUAAAUUGACUUUGGGGAAUUCUUGCUGAGCUGGGGUGGUGCAGGCCCAGCAAGCACAGGAUGGGUGCGGAAAGCCAAGGUCAACGCCUAGAGGAGAAGAGGCUCAGAACAGCCUGGCUGGAGUUUGGCCAAGGAGGACGAGGCAGAUGCUCUCUAUGAAGCUCUGAAGAAUCUUACACCAUAUGAGGACAAAGACGUGCAGCAAAAAGACCAGCAGCUUAGGG